GUAGGCCUCAAGUGAUGUGUGACAACCCCCUGA
Molecule: ribosomal RNA, 33 nt
Filed under: Anopheles culicifacies D
Lineage: Eukaryota; Metazoa; Arthropoda; Insecta; Diptera; Culicidae
Description: partial 28S ribosomal RNA
Source: RNAcentral